AGUGAACGCUGGCGGUAGGCCUAACACAUGCAAGUCGAACGGCAGCACAGUAAAAGCUUGCUCUUACGGGUGGCGAGUGGCGGACGGGUGAGGAAUACAUCGGAAUCUACUUUUUCGUGGGGGAUAACGUAGGGAAACUUACGCUAAUACCGCAUACGACCUACGGGGGAAAGCAGGGGAUCUUCGGACCUUGCGCGAGUGAAUGAGCCGAUGUCGGAUUAGCUAGUUGGCGGGGUAAAGGCCCACCAAGGCGACGAUCCGUAGCUGGUCUGAGAGGAUGAUCAGCCACACUGGAACUGAGACACGGUCCAGACUCCUACGGGAGGCAGCAGUGGGGAAUAUUGGACAAUGGGCGCAAGCCUGAUCCAGCCAUACCGCGUGGGUGAAGAAGGCCUUCGGGUUGUAAAGCCCUUUUGUUGGGAAAGAAAAGCAGCAGGUUAAUACCCCGCUGUUCUGACGGUACCCAAAGAAUAAGCACCGGCUAACUUCGUG
This 492-nucleotide ribosomal RNA is filed under the name uncultured bacterium. RNAcentral's name for it is "partial 16S ribosomal RNA". It matches the Rfam family "Bacterial small subunit ribosomal RNA", at positions 29 to 507 of the family's 1533-position model. The record is from RNAcentral.